UAGGGGUUACAAGGGGGUAUUAGCUUAUUUAUCUCCCCUAAACAUGUUGUUUGAUAGGCUUCACCACUAAUGUUCCAGGCCCGCAGUAAAUGGGAAGCCCGCACCAAAGUCACUAUUCCACUUAGAAAAGUCAUCCCUCCAAGACCCCCAGUUCAAUUAUAUUUUUUGAACAGUGAUUUAGAUUAGUUUUUCCGUUGACCAUUUUAUCCCUCAACCUACUUCAACAAAACCAACAAAUUCCCAGCGUUCAUGGAGCAGUAUCGGAAUAGGGAUCUCUGUAUCAAGCAAGAACUUUCUCUCUCUAAUUGCAAGUCGACGAGAGAGAAAGAAAUGCAGAUGAUGUCAAUUGUGAGAAAGCUCCAAUAGCAUGAGGUUGAUGGGAUGAGAUCAAGUUAUUCGUUGGUCUUCCAGUAUUCAGCGACCUUCACAGCUUGGUAGGCGGUAAUUUUUGCUUAAUUUUCUCCCAAUUAUGUGAAGGGUUCAUCGGAUAAUUUGAGAAUUAAGUGGAGGGUAGUAUGGUAAUUUCACCAGAUAUACUAUCACUUAGACAAUGUUAUUAAAAAUAUGUAUAGAUUAUAUGCAUUUUAGUAGAA
This is a long non-coding RNA of Salvia miltiorrhiza (redroot sage), 593 nucleotides long. RefSeq lists it as uncharacterized. The record is from RefSeq and is a predicted model, not a curated record. The transcript is spliced from 2 exons. NCBI's taxonomy places the organism in Eukaryota, Viridiplantae, Streptophyta, Magnoliopsida, Lamiales, Lamiaceae.